ACGGGUGAGUAAUACAUCGGAACGUGCCCAAGAGUGGGGGAUAACGGAGCGAAAGCUUUGCUAAUACCGCAUACGAUCUACGGAUGAAAGCAGGGGACCGCAAGGCCUUGCGCUCAUGGAGCGGCCGAUGGCAGAUUAGGUAGUUGGUGGGAUAAGAGCUUACCAAGCCGACGAUCUGUAGCUGGUCUGAGAGGACGACCAGCCACACUGGGACUGAGACACGGCCCAGACUCCUACGGGAGGCAGCAGUGGGGAAUUUUGGACAAUGGGCGCAAGCCUGAUCCAGCCAUGCCGCGUGCAGGAUGAAGGCCUUCGGGUUGUAAACUGCUUUUGUACGGAACGAAAAGCCUCUUUCUAAUAAAGAGGGGUCAUGACGGUACCGUAAGAAUAAGCACCGGCUAACUACGUGCCAGCAGCCGCGGUAAUACGUAGGGUGCGAGCGUUAAUCGGAAUUACUGGGCGUAAAGCGUGCGCAGGCGGUAAUGUAAGACAGAUGUGAAAUCCCCGGGCUCAACCUGGGAACUGCAUUUGUGACUGCAUUGCUGGAGUGCGGCAGAGGGGGAUGGAAUUCCGCGUGUAGCAGUG
This 585-nucleotide ribosomal RNA is filed under the name uncultured bacterium. Its description in RNAcentral is "bacterial SSU rRNA". It matches the Rfam family "Bacterial small subunit ribosomal RNA", at positions 102 to 683 of the family's 1533-position model. The record is from RNAcentral.